RNAcentral lists this ribosomal RNA (492 nucleotides) under uncultured bacterium. RNAcentral describes it as "partial 16S ribosomal RNA". It matches the Rfam family "Bacterial small subunit ribosomal RNA", at positions 29 to 507 of the family's 1533-position model. The record is from RNAcentral.
AGUGAACGCUGGCGGUAGGCCUAACACAUGCAAGUCGAACGGCAGCACAGUAAGAGCUUGCUCUUACGGGUGGCGAGUGGCGGACGGGUGGGGAAUACAUCGGAAUCUACUUUUUCGUGGGGGAUAACGUAGGGAAACUUACGCUAAUACCGCAUACGACCUACGGGUGAAAGCAGGGGAUCUUCGGACCUUGCGCGAUUGAAUGAGCCGAUGUCGGAUUAGCUAGUUGGCGGGGUAAAGGCCCACCAAGGCGACGAUCCGUAGCUGGUCUGAGAGGAUGAUCAGCCACACUGGAACUGAGACACGGUCCAGACUCCUACGGGAGGCAGCAGUGGGGAAUAUUGGACAAUGGGCGCAAGCCUGAUCCAGCCAUACCGCGUGGGUGAAGAAGGCCUUCGGGUUGUAAAGCCCUUUUGUUGGGAAAGAAAAGCAGCAGGUUAAUACCCCGCUGUUCUGACGGUACCCAAAGAAUAAGCACCGACUAACUUCGUG